This is a regulatory RNA element of Sinomonas sp., 99 nucleotides long. It matches the Rfam family "Glycine riboswitch aptamer". Rfam says of the family: This family represents the bacterial glycine riboswitch. Glycine riboswitches usually consist of two metabolite-binding aptamers domains with similar structures in tandem. The record is from Rfam. NCBI's taxonomy places the organism in Bacteria, Bacillati, Actinomycetota, Actinomycetes, Micrococcales, Micrococcaceae.
UGAUCUGCGGCGGGAGAGUCCUGCGAGCAUGAGCAAGCAGGCGCCGUAGGAGCAACACCUCCCCAGGAAUCUCUCAGGCACCUGUACCGCCGCGGCAAG